Long non-coding RNA from Phragmites australis (common reed), 377 nucleotides. RefSeq lists it as uncharacterized. The transcript is spliced from 2 exons. Lineage: Eukaryota; Viridiplantae; Streptophyta; Magnoliopsida; Poales; Poaceae. The record is from RefSeq and is a predicted model, not a curated record.
GUACAAUAGCAUACCAAAGCACUCCCAGCACAGUGCCAUAAUAAGCUAUACGUGAUGGUGUUUUCCUUUUCUCCAGCCAGAAGUAACCUUCUGCUUGUACUUGCGGCCAUCGUGAUUGCGCUGCUGCUCAAGAUGCCUCGCUCUUAUGGGUUGCUUCCUCUGGAACAUCCUUCGUCAUGCGUAAGAACCGAUCCGGAUAAUCCAGUUUGUAGGCCGCCUCCAUGAAAUGUGAUAUAUGUAUAUACUACAACGGCUUACCUCACAUAUAUGGAACUCACAGUACAAGGGAACACUUCAUGUAUCUCGAGACAUCCUCUUCAUGUGCCCUCGACACGUUGUAUAUAUCUAUCUAUUGUAUUGUCUCCUCGAAAAUACAA